GACUCCGUGGUACAGUGGUUAACGCAUCCGCCUGGAGAGCGGAAGAUCAUAGGUUUAGAUCUUACCGGUGUCU
Molecule: transfer RNA, 73 nt
Filed under: Oryctes borbonicus
Lineage: Eukaryota; Metazoa; Arthropoda; Insecta; Coleoptera; Scarabaeidae
Rfam family: tRNA
About the family: Transfer RNA (tRNA) molecules are approximately 80 nucleotides in length.
Source: Rfam by way of RNAcentral